MicroRNA precursor from Oryza rufipogon (brownbeard rice), 203 nucleotides. It matches the Rfam family "MIR812 microRNA precursor family". NCBI's taxonomy places the organism in Eukaryota, Viridiplantae, Streptophyta, Magnoliopsida, Poales, Poaceae. The record is from Rfam.
AUUAAGUGCAGCCAUGAGUUUCCGCGUCCAACUUUAAUCGUCCGUCUUAUUUAAAAUUUUUUUAUAAUUAGUAUUUUUGUUGUUAUAAGAUGAUAAAACAUGAAUAGUACUUUACUCGUGACUAACUUUUUUAAUUUUUUUAAUUUUUUUUAAAUAAGACGAAUGAUUAAAGUUGGACACGAAAAACUAUGGCUAUAGUUAUU